GCGCGAGAUUCCCAUGCGCGCAAGCGUGAGGGAGCCAGCCAGAGUGCCUUACCAUUGGUAAGGCUUUUUGAGAGUGUAAAUAGCUCUCAGAAUAAGGGGCGGGCAAUACCGGUGCCAGCAGCCGCGGUAAUCCCGGAGCCCCGAGUGGUGGUCAUAUUUAUUGGGCCUAAAGCGUUCGUAGCCGGACUAAAAAGUCCCUGGUGAAAUCCUUCCUCUUAAGGGAAGGGCGUGCUGGGGAUACUAUUAGUCUAGGGACCGGAAGGGGGCGAAGGUAUUCCGGGGGUAGGGGUUAAAUCCUAUAAUCCCCGGAGGACCACCGGUGGCGAAGGCUGCUGACUAGAACACGUCUGACGGUCAGGGACGAAAGCUGGGGUAGCGAACCGGAUUAGAUACCCGGGUAGUCCCAGCCGUAAACGAUGCAUGCUAGGUGUUGGGUUGGCCACGAGCCACCCCAGUGCCGCAGGGAAGCCGUUAAGCAUGCCGCCUGGGAAGUACGAUCGCAAGACUGAAACUUAAAGGAAUUGGCGGGGGAGCAC
This 536-nucleotide ribosomal RNA is filed under the name uncultured archaeon. RNAcentral describes it as "bacterial SSU rRNA". It matches the Rfam family "Archaeal small subunit ribosomal RNA", at positions 339 to 879 of the family's 1478-position model. The record is from RNAcentral.